RNAcentral lists this small nuclear RNA (53 nucleotides) under Arabidopsis thaliana (thale cress). Its description in RNAcentral is "ncRNA (U6.9p)". Lineage: Eukaryota; Viridiplantae; Streptophyta; Magnoliopsida; Brassicales; Brassicaceae. The record is from RNAcentral.
AAAACAAACACUUACCACCCAAUUCUUCAGACAAGAUUUGCUGAUUUUGUGAC